GUAACGUUUCUCCAACCUGUGCUGCCUCGCUUGAACGAACACGAACAGAUAGGGCCAGGCUCCGGCAGUGAAGCUCGCCGACUGCUGCGCCGCAACCUCACCGUCUGCUCCGUUGCGACCUCGACCUGUUCCUACGUAUAGCGGACUGACCACCCCAUCCCCGCGCCACCAUUCUCCACCUCGGCGCCAUCCCGUCACCACACCCCGGCGGCUAGCUCCGCCAUCGGUUGACGCCUACCUUCGCCACCAGCCGACGGCUAGAUCCGCCAUCCGCUGACGCUGGAGAAGACAACUCCAGCCUUCAGCACAACCCAUGGGAGCAGAGAUCACUUCGCGAUUAAAUAAUGGAUGAGAAAUGCCUUUAUUCGUGUGCUAUAUGAAACUGGUUACAUUAUUGUAGACUUUUGGUACAGCUUGUACAACUAGUUGCCGCUGUGUUGCAGCUAGCGCCUCUUGUCCUUUUUCUUUUUUCUGUAACAUGCACAAGAGUGUUGUUAGUUUCGUGAGUGUGACUACUGGCCUGGGAGACCGACGAAGUGAAAGAGGGCGUUGGCUGCUUCCUGAAUAUUGUUGUCUAGUUUCUCAUCCUGUACAAUAGUUUAGCUUCUUUUGAUUGUAGCCUGGUUUCUAUUUU
This is a long non-coding RNA of Triticum urartu, 634 nucleotides long. RefSeq lists it as uncharacterized. Lineage: Eukaryota; Viridiplantae; Streptophyta; Magnoliopsida; Poales; Poaceae. The record is from RefSeq and is a predicted model, not a curated record.